This 720-nucleotide long non-coding RNA is filed under the name Phoenix dactylifera (date palm). RNAcentral describes it as "long non-coding RNA (PDAC_LNC003255)". The record is from RNAcentral. Lineage: Eukaryota; Viridiplantae; Streptophyta; Magnoliopsida; Arecales; Arecaceae.
UUCCUCCUCCUCCCCUUCUUAUAGAUCGCCGGAGCAUGGAGUGGAGGAGAAGCGGGUGCGGGAUCUCGGGAGGUAGCUGUGGAGGUGAUUGCGGGAAGGAAGCUGGCUGCGUGAUUCCUUGGAUGCGGAAGGAAGGAGGCGCGGGCUGAGGCUGAGGAGGAGCGAUCGUGGGAGGCUGGAUCACGGAACGACGGGAAGAAGCUGUGGAGGUGAUUGCGGGCAGAUCACGGCAGAUUGCUCGCGCUGAGGGGGUCUGAUGCUGGUCCGGCAGAUGGCUGAGAGCGCGGGAGAAGCGGACACGGUGGAUGCCGGAUGAAUCGCGAAGGCUGGGAUCAGGGAAGACGUUGACUGCGGAAGCUUGAAACGGGGAAAGAAAACGAUGCGGGAUGCUGGGCGGCUUCACAGGCUCGGGUGGACGCUAGGAUAUGUGGUUGCACGCUGAAGAACGAAGAUGGAGGAAGCUGGGAGACGAUCACGGGCAUGGGACGACGCGCGGAUGCUGUGGAGGCAGAUGGACGCAGGCGGAUGAGGUGGGCGGUGAUUGCGGAAGGAAGGAGUGCGUUCAUGAGGAGCUUGGAUGCGGGUCCGGCAGGUGGCUAAGGGCGCGGGAGAUCCAAUUGCAGAUCUUCUUGGCUUGAUGAAUCUAAGCCCUUGGAUGUUUCAUUACACAUUGCCUCCAGAUGACUGCCAUGUAUCCCUCUGGUGCAAGUGUGCUUGANN